RNAcentral lists this long non-coding RNA (338 nucleotides) under Olea europaea (common olive). RNAcentral's name for it is "long non-coding RNA (OEUR_LNC002903)". Lineage: Eukaryota; Viridiplantae; Streptophyta; Magnoliopsida; Lamiales; Oleaceae. The record is from RNAcentral.
GAGAAUAAUGCCUUAACAUUGUGGAACAUGAUAUUUUGCAUGAGAUAUGAUUUAGAAGAAUAUAAGAUAGAAAUUUUGUGUUAUCAAAUAACAAACAGUUGGCUCGACUCAAUCGUAAUGAUAUUGUUAAUUUUUUAUUGAUUUAUUUUUGUAGAUAUUCCUAUUUUUGAGACCUCUGGCCUUCUGCUGUACUUAUACAAAUCUCGCUUGCCAGUUGCUACUCACUUCAGGAGUUGAAACUUAGCUGUUAAGUAACUGAAUGUGUGUGCAUAGAUGUAGGCUUAGCCUAGGUCCUAAAAAAACAAAUGGGUCAAGCAAUAUUUUGGUGAUCAAAAUGU